RNAcentral lists this ribosomal RNA (465 nucleotides) under Vreelandella stevensii. RNAcentral describes it as "partial 16S ribosomal RNA". It matches the Rfam family "Bacterial small subunit ribosomal RNA", at positions 338 to 795 of the family's 1533-position model. The record is from RNAcentral. Lineage: Bacteria; Pseudomonadati; Pseudomonadota; Gammaproteobacteria; Oceanospirillales; Halomonadaceae.
CCUACGGGUGGCAGCAGUGGGGAAUAUUGGACAAUGGGGGGAACCCUGAUCCAGCCAUGCCGCGUGUGUGAAGAAGGCCCUCGGUUUGUAAAGCACUUUCAGUGAGGAAGAACGCCUGGUGGUUAAUACCCAUCAGGAAAGACAUCACUCACAGAAGAAGCACCGGCUAACUCCGUGCCAGCAGCCGCGGUAAUACGGAGGGUGCGAGCGUUAAUCGGAAUUACUGGGCGUAAAGCGCGCGUAGGUGGCUUGAUAAGCCGGUUGUGAAAGCCCCGGGCUCAACCUGGGAACGGCAUCCGGAACUGUCAAGCUAGAGUGCAGGAGAGGAAGGUAGAAUUCCCGGUGUAGCGGUGAAAUGCGUAGAGAUCGGGAGGAAUACCAGUGGCGAAGGCGGCCUUCUGGACUGACACUGACACUGAGGUGCGAAAGCGUGGGUAGCAAACAGGAUUAGAUACCCUAGUAGUC